AAACAUGCAGUUCUUGAAAUUUUGACUUUUCAAUGUAUGUACUAAUAAUUGAUCCAUCUUUAUUUUUAUCCAGAAGUCUUUUAACCAUCGUAAGAGCAUCUCGUUGGAUAAUAACCUCUUGGAGCUCUAGAUUCAGAGGCGAAGCUAGGGGCUGGUAGAGACCCGGCUCCCCCUAAAAUAUAAAAUUGUUAUUUAGGCCCUUAAAAUUUUUUAAAAAUUUUAAAUUAGUAAAAGUAAAAUUAUAUUUUGGCCCUAAAAUUAUAAAAAAUCAAUUUAAUUUUUUAUAAAUUAUAAAGAUAUAAACUAUAAAAAAUUAAAAUUUUAUCCGCUCCUAAAAAUUUGUUCUAGCUUCACCCUCUCCAGAUCUAGCCCCAACCGAACUGCUUGAAGGCAUGCUAGAGCCUCCACAGCAAACUCAGUAGAGAGUGCUUUUGAAAUGCUGCAUCAUAAUUAAUCUUAAUGAAAUCGCCACCCGGAGGACUCCAUCUGACCUCUGAUUCAAUUAUAUUUGCAGACGACCUGGCCCUUAGAGCAUUGAGUUCACCAAUGUAAGCUCCUACUUUAGCAAUUAUCUCCUAUGGCGUUUGUGCGUCUCUAUCAUGGAUCAAUCUAUUCCUUGAUGCCCACAAAAACCAUAUAGCAUACAUUAUUACCCUACAGGUUUAAGAUUCAGAAUCGAGUGAAGUUGAGUCCACAUAGUGACUUGUAUAUUAGUUUAAGAUUCGUACUCAAUGUGUAUGAAAACCUGUAGAAUUAUUAUUAUUCUUAAAUUAUGUAUCUGACUAUUGGAUAUAUAGUUUAGUAUCCUACCAUCGUUGCUUGAAGAAAAUAUUAAAA
Gossypium arboreum is the source of this 837-nucleotide long non-coding RNA. RefSeq lists it as uncharacterized. NCBI's taxonomy places the organism in Eukaryota, Viridiplantae, Streptophyta, Magnoliopsida, Malvales, Malvaceae. The record is from RefSeq and is a predicted model, not a curated record. The transcript is spliced from 2 exons.